RNAcentral lists this ribosomal RNA (494 nucleotides) under uncultured bacterium. RNAcentral's name for it is "partial 16S ribosomal RNA". It matches the Rfam family "Bacterial small subunit ribosomal RNA", at positions 28 to 507 of the family's 1533-position model. The record is from RNAcentral.
GACGAACGCUGGCGGCGUGCUUAACACAUGCAAGUCGAACGGAAAGGCCUGCUUUCCCUUGUGGAUUGCGGGUACUCGAGUGGCGAACGGGUGAGUAACACGUGAGUGAUCUGCCCCCAACUUGGGUAUAAGCCUGGGAAACUGGGUCUAAUUCCCGAUAGGACUGCAGGGUGGUGCCUGUGGUGGAAAACGAUUUUCUAGUGGUUGGGGAUGAGCUCGCGGCCUAUCAGCUUGUUGGUGGGGUAAUGGCCUACCAAGGCGGCGACGGGUAGCCGGCCUGAGAGGGUGGACGGCCACAUUGGGACUGGGAUACGGCCCAGACUCCUACGGGAGGCAGCAGUGGGGAGUAUUGCACAAUGGGCGGAAGCCUGAUGCAGCGACGCCGCGGGGGGGAUGACGGCCUUCGGGUUGUAAACUCCUUUCGACCGCGAGGAAGCCACCUGGUUGGAAGGGUGGUGACGGUAGUGGUAGAAGAAGCACCGGCUAACUACGUG